Ochotona princeps (American pika) is the source of this 722-nucleotide long non-coding RNA. RefSeq lists it as uncharacterized. The record is from RefSeq and is a predicted model, not a curated record. The transcript is spliced from 4 exons. Lineage: Eukaryota; Metazoa; Chordata; Mammalia; Lagomorpha; Ochotonidae.
AGGGGCCGGCUGCCAUCAGUGAAGUCAGAUUCAUAAUCGAGUCUUCUUGCGUUGCUUUGCUGUACUCGGAGUGACUCAGAGAGCAAAGAGAUUACAGCCGGCACAAUCCUCGCGGGCAAGAUCACAUGUCACAGCACCCAUCUCCAAUGGGAGCCCCCAGAGCAUGUCUCCAAGCCCAAAACCCAGACGCCACCACGCCAACCAAGACCCCUCAUCCAGGGAGAGUUGCAGGCCAUGAGGCAGCCCAACAGAAGACCCUUGCAUUCCAGCUGUAUUGGCUGCAAGCUCAGAAUCUAGUUUACCCUGCAGCUCACAGUCCGGGGGAAAUGGAUGUUGCCUGGCAUGCAGCAGAAGCAGCAAGCACCACCAAAGCCCCAGGCCGUGCUUUAGCCAGCAUCUCUGCAGCAACCAAAGCAGCCACAGUAACAGCCACAGCAGGUCUGAGGUUAUGAUUUCAAAGCUCAUAUCUGGAGUUUUGGAAUCACAGCCAUUGAACUGGCCACGGGGGCAGCUCCUUAUCAUAAGUACCCACCAAUGAAGCUAUUGUGAGGAACACUGCUAGGAAGCACAGGUGUACAAAUUUCUCUUUGAAACUGUCUUUGCUUCUGGUUCUUUUAGCUGUCUACAUAAAGCUGGAAGUGCUAGAUCAUAAGUCACUAAAUCAUCUGGUAAUUGCACUCGCACUUCUUAGGGAGCAGCCACAUUGCGUCCCACAGUGGCUG